Molecule: non-coding RNA, 92 nt
Organism: Nipponia nippon (crested ibis)
Lineage: Eukaryota; Metazoa; Chordata; Aves; Pelecaniformes; Threskiornithidae
Source: Rfam
UGUCUCUCUCGGGUCUUUUUGCGGUCUGGGCUUGCUGUUCCUCCCGCCAGCAGUCAGGAAGCCCUUACCCCAAAAAGUAUCCGCGAGGGAUC